Molecule: ribosomal RNA, 927 nt
Filed under: Triticum aestivum (bread wheat)
Lineage: Eukaryota; Viridiplantae; Streptophyta; Magnoliopsida; Poales; Poaceae
Description: partial small subunit ribosomal RNA
Source: RNAcentral
AUGGCGAAGAAGGCCGCAAAGCGAGCUGCUGGUGAAGCAAGGGGUCGGGCAUAUGAGGACCUCUACCAACGGUUAGGCACGAAGGAAGGUGAAAGGGACAUCUAUAAGAUGGCUAAGAUCCGGGAGAGGAAGACGAGGGAUAUUGGCCAAGUCAAAUGCAUCAAGGACGGAGCAGGCCAACUCUUGGUGAAGGACGAAGAGAUUAAGCAUAGAUGGCAGGAGUACUUCGACAAGCUGUUCAAUGGGGAGAAUGAGAGUUCUACCAUUGAACUGAAUGACUCCUUUGAUGAGACCAGCAUGCGUUUUGUGCGGCGCAUCCAGGAGUCUGAGGUGAAGGAGGCUUUAAAAAGGAUGAAAGGAGGCAAGGCGAUGGGCCCUGAUUGUAUCCCCAUUGAGGUGUGGAAAGGUCUCGGGGACAUAGCGAUAGUAUGGCUAACCAAGCUUUUCAACCUCAUUUUUCGGGCAAACAAGAUGCCAGAAGAAUGGAGACGGAGUAUAUUAGUACCAAUCUUCAAGAACAAGGGGGAUGUUCAGAGUUGUACUAAUUACCGUGGAAUUAAGCUGAUGAGCCAUACAAUGAAGCUAUGGGAGAGAGUUAUUGAGCACCGCUUAAGAAGAAUGACAAGCGUGACCAAAAAUCAGUUUGGUUUCAUGCCUGGGAGGUCGACCAUGGAAGCCAUUUUCUUGGUACGACAACUUAUGGAGAGAUAUAGGGAGCAUAAGAAGGACUUGCAUAUGGUGUUCAUUGACUUGGAGAAGGCCUAUGAUAAGAUACCGUGGAAUGUCAUGUGGUGGGCCUUGGAGAAACACAAAGUCCCAGCAAAGUACAUUACCCUCAUCAAGGACAUGUACAAUAAUGUUGUGACAAGUGUUCGAACAAGUGAUGUCGACACCGAUGACUUCCCGAUUAAGAUAGGACUGCAUUAG